CCCCACUCCGCACUGGGGCCAUGCCUGCCUCUGGGCCUCCCGCUCCGUGGGUGCUGAGACCGGGCUCAUCGUUUUGUAGGGCGCGGGGCGCCGCGUCCUUCCGCCCCUUGCCCAGGCGCAGCCGAGCGUUUGACCCGCCGCGGGGUGGCCCAGGGGACUCUCCCUUAUUGACGCGUUAACGGACCUUCCCUCCCUUUGGGUGCCAGACCGACAUCCGCACCAUUUGUGCAGUCGCGUUUUGAGUUUCCACCUACAAGUCUUGGGUGACGUUUCUCCAUAAUAAACACCAGUUUCGAUGGUCCUCACCGCAGAUUAAUCAGGGGCUUUCUGUGACUCAAGUGAACCUGAGGCGGGUGGAAGGAACGACCGAUGGCUUCAUGCUCUGUGUCCCCAGUAAACCUGAUGUGUUUGCGACUUUUGAGGUUUUCUGGCUCCCUUAGAUGGGCUUUUUUCCUUAAUAAGAGGGCAUGUUAUAAAGAGUGCCUGAUUAUCUCAUAGAUAUGAAGGCCACCUCACUUAACUGUGAUUGCUUUUGAUGUUAAUACAACACAGGUGACGAACACAAACUGCAAAUAGUGAGCCCUGGCCUAGGCACUGGUAGAAAGGGUACUUAGGCAGCUACUGCUUUUUGGCCCUUGUUCCUGAAUCUUUCAUUGUAAAUUUGCUCUAAACGCAGUACGCACCCUAUAGAAGACCCUUAGGCCUUAAAUGCCUACUAUCCAUGUGGGCACUUGCAUAUACAGAGAGGUGAACUUCUGGAAGUGGUACAGAAGAAACUCAACAGCCAGGAGGAUAUGCUGCAAAGCCUGAGUUUUGAAGAUGUAUAAAGAUCAUCAUGAUAAAUGUUUUCUAAAAAUUUGUCAAAGAGGAUGGCUAUGAAAAAACCAUUAGGACCACAACUGCAUGUUACAGGUGGAACCGAAAGUUAUGUCCUAUAGGUAACUGUGGAUAAAUGUUCAGGUCCUUAACCAUGGUGUUUAAGAAUUCUUCAUUGCCUCAAGUGUGGCAUAUAACAUUUUGGGAAGGAAAAAUGAAGAAUUGGUCAUGAAGACAUGAAUAGAAGCGAGUGAAUAAAAUUAAUAUUUUAUUUAACAUUGAUAACCAUAUUUCACAAUAAUUCUGUAGAAAAUACAUGUUUGGAUACUUAAUAUUUGCUGGCCAAUAAAGUUAUUUUUAAAAACUA
Molecule: long non-coding RNA, 1183 nt
Organism: Trichechus manatus latirostris (Florida manatee)
Lineage: Eukaryota; Metazoa; Chordata; Mammalia; Sirenia; Trichechidae
Exons: 4
Source: RefSeq, a predicted model, not a curated record